RNAcentral lists this ribosomal RNA (213 nucleotides) under uncultured bacterium. RNAcentral's name for it is "partial 16S ribosomal RNA". It matches the Rfam family "Bacterial small subunit ribosomal RNA", at positions 30 to 250 of the family's 1533-position model. The record is from RNAcentral.
AUUGAACGCUGGCGGCAUGCCUAACACAUGCAAGUCGCACGCGAAAGGGGCAACCCCGAGUAGAGUGGCGGACGGUGCGUAAUACGUAGGAAUCUACCUGAUAGUGGGGGACACCCGGCGAAAGCCGGGCUAAUACCGCAUACGACCUAUGGGUGAAAGCCGGGACCGCAAGGCCUGGCGCUAUUAGAUGAGCCUGCGUCGGAUUAGCUAGUU